This 266-nucleotide long non-coding RNA is filed under the name Elaeis guineensis (African oil palm). RNAcentral's name for it is "long non-coding RNA (EGUI_LNC039696)". Lineage: Eukaryota; Viridiplantae; Streptophyta; Magnoliopsida; Arecales; Arecaceae. The record is from RNAcentral.
AGCCCCUCCCUCCUCUCUUCUCUUAGGGGUCAUCAAAUAAUUGAAAUCACCAAUGACCAAAGAAGAGACUCCCUACUCAAUCAAGUUAGAGAUCUCAUCCUACAGUACUCUCCACUUUCUGUAGUUGGUACUAGUAUACACAUCCGAUAAGAGCCAAGUAAGUCCAUUUAAUUUAGAAAUUAUAAUGAUUGCUUGCUAGGUAUAUCUAUGAAAUACAUCCAUAAUGGCUACACUAACCCUCCACACCACAAUGAUACCCCCGGCCA